AUGACAAUGGAGCACGGCGAGGAUUGCUGCGUCAAGGUGGCGGUCCAUGCCCGCCCGCUCAUCGGCGACGAGAAGCUGCAGGGCUGUAAGGACUGCGUCACCGUCGUCCCCGGCAAGCCACAGGUCCAGAUCGGCACCCACUCCUUCACCUUCGACCAUGUCUACGGCAGCUCCGGCACGCCGUCGACGGCCAUGUUCGACGAGUGCGUGGCGCCGCUGGUGGAGGGCCUCUUCCAGGGCUACAACGCCACCGUGCUCGCCUACGGCCAGACGGGUUCGGGGAAGACGUACACCAUGGGGACGGCAUGCAAGGAGGGGACGCACGUCGGGAUCAUUCCGCGAGCCAUGGCGGCAUUGUUCGACAAGAUCGAGAAGCUGAAAAAUCAAGUGGACUUCCAGCUACGUGUUUCCUUCAUCGAGAUCCUGAAAGAAGAGGUGCGGGAUUUGCUUGACCCUGCUACUGUUGCUGCUGGCAAAGUUGAGAAUGGCAAUGGGCACGCCGGGAAGUUGUCGGUGCCGGGGAAACCUCCGGUGCAGAUUCGGGAGGGGUCAAACGGGGUCAUUACCCUGUCGGGGUCGACCGAAGUGCAUGUCACAACUCAGAAGGAAAUGACCACAUGCCUUGAACAAGGUUCGCUGAGUCGCGCCACUGGGAGCACCAACAUGAACAACCAAUCAAGUCGUUCCCAUGCCAUCUUCACAAUCACAUUGGAGCAGAUGCGCAAAGCAGACCCCAUCAUGGCAUCAGAUGGAAUGCCUAUCGAAGAGAUGAAUGAUGAUUAUCUAUGUGCCAAGCUCCAUUUGGUAGAUCUUGCGGGGUCGGAACGGGCCAAGCGAACUGGUUCAGAUGGCCUUCGGUUCAAGGAAGGUGUUCACAUCAACAGAGGACUUCUGGCCCUUGGCAACGUCAUAAGUGCUCUUGGAGAUGAGAAAAAGAGGAAAGAAGGUGCACAUGUACCUUACCGGGACAGCAAACUCACUCGCCUUCUGCAGGACUCACUCGGUGGAAACAGCAAGACUGUAAUGAUAGCCUGUAUUAGUCCAGCAGAUAUUAAUGCUGAAGAAACACUGAACACAUUGAAAUACGCCAACCGGGCACGUAAUAUUCAGAACAAGCCAAUUGUCAACAGGAAUCCUAUUGCUGAUGAGAUGAAAAGGAUGCGCCAGCAACUCGAGUACUUGCAAGCAGAGCUAGUUUUAGCUCGCGGAGGAGGAGUAGGAUCAGAUGAUGUUCAGGGUCUCAGGGAAAGGAUCUCAUGGCUUGAACACACAAAUGAAGACCUUUGCCGGGAGCUUUAUGGCCUUCGCAACCAUGUUCACAGUGAUCCAUGCGAACCUGAACUACAUAAAACUGUAAGUGGCUACACCAAAGGUGAAGGGCUCAAACGAAGCUUGCAAAGUACGGAGCCAUUUGAUGUCCUUAUGACUGAUUCUGUACGAGAAGGCAACCCUAAAGAUAUUGACGAUGAAGUAGCCAAAGAAUGGGAACACACAAUGCUGCAGGAUAGCUUAGGCAAAGAGUUGAAUGAAUUAAACAAACAACUGGAGAAAAAGGAGUCUGAGAUGAAAGGGUAUGGACAUGAUACUGUUGCACUUAAGCAACACUUUGGAAAGAAACUUAUGGAACUUGAAGAAGAGAAAAGAGCUGUACAGAAAGAGAGGGACAGGUUGUUGGCUGAAGUUGAAAGCCUAAAUGCAGAUGGGCAGACACAUAAGGUGCGAGAUGCCCAACUGCAAAAACUUAAAACCUUUGAAGCACAGAUUCUAGAACUCAAGAAAAAGCAGGAGAGCCAAGUUCAACUUCUGAAAGAAAAGCAGAAGAGUGAUGAAGCUGCUAAGAAACUGCAAGAAGAAAUCCAUUUUAUAAAGUCACAGAAGGUUCAACUACAACACAAGAUCAAACAAGAAGCAGAACAGUUCCGGCAAUGGAAGGCUUCCCGUGAAAAAGAACUUUUGCAGUUGCGGAAGGAGGGACGAAGAAAUGAGUAUGAACGCCACAAACUUCAAGCACUUACUCAGAGGCAAAAAUUGGUUCUUCAAAGGAAGACUGAAGAAGCUGCCAUGGCUACCAAAAGGCUGAAAGAGAUACUUGAAGCUCGGAAAUCUUCAGGGCGUGAUAAUUCAGCUGGCAUGAAUGGCACUUCUCCUGGCUCUCAUAUGAGUGAGAAAUCGUUGCAAAAGUGGCUAGAUCAAGAGUUAGAAGUCAUGGUUCAUGUCCACGAAGUCCGAAACGAAUACGAGAAACAGUCUCAAUUGCGUGCUUUACUUGGCGAGGAGCUUGCCAUUUUGAAGAAAGAAGAUGCUAGUCCGCCAAGAGGGAAGAAUGGAAACUCAAGGACAAAUACCUUGUCACCAAAUGCCCGACAAGCUAGGAUAGCAUCACUUGAGAGCAUGGUCACAAUCUCUUCAAAUACUCUUGUCGCGAUGGCUUCUCAACUUUCAGAGGCUGAGGAAAGAGAGCGUGCUUUCUCGGGGCGUGGUCGUUGGAAUCAGUUGCGGUCAAUGGGAGAAGCAAAGAGUUUGCUGCAGUACAUCUUUAGUGUGGCUGCGGAUGCAAGAUGUGAAGUAAGGGAAAAACAAAUUGAGAUCAAGGAAAUGAAGGAGCAAAGGACAGAGCUUGUGGGCAUCCUUCGACACAGUGAAUCACGCAGGAAGGAACUUGAAAAGCAGAGCAAGCAGAAAGAGCAGACAGCUCCCAUGGCUACUACACCUCCGGGAAGCAUAAAUGGCUCCGCCAAGCACACUGCAGAUGACUCCAACACGCCACUAUCGCCGGUUGCAGUUCCCGCACAGAAGCAGCUGAAGUACUCUGCUGGAAUUGUAAAUAGCCCCAGCAAAGGCGUAGCUGCAUUGAACAAACAACUCAAGAUGGUUCCUAUUGCGCAGUUGCCUGUCGGCAAGAAGGUUUCGAUAUCAGGGCAAUCAGGGAAACUCUGGAGAUGGAAAAGGAGCCACCACCAGUGGCUACUGCAGUUCAAGUGGAAGUGGCAGAAGCCCUGGAAACUGUCGGAAAUGAUCCGCCACAGCGACGAAACGAUCACGAGGGCCAGGCCCAGACCCCAGUUACUUAUCACUCAUAAACCUCAGAAAGUGAUGUGA
Molecule: ribosomal RNA, 3099 nt
Filed under: Triticum aestivum (bread wheat)
Lineage: Eukaryota; Viridiplantae; Streptophyta; Magnoliopsida; Poales; Poaceae
Description: partial small subunit ribosomal RNA
Source: RNAcentral